Molecule: long non-coding RNA, 1433 nt
Organism: Siniperca chuatsi (mandarin fish)
Lineage: Eukaryota; Metazoa; Chordata; Actinopteri; Centrarchiformes; Sinipercidae
Exons: 3
Source: RefSeq, a predicted model, not a curated record
CACCGUGACGACACACCGACACACACACAACCAGCCAACAGUGAACCACCGCCACGUAACAAACAAACGACAAAACAGAGAAUUACACAUAAGAAAAGGGGGGAAAAAAAGAAAAUUAAAAACAAAGGCUGAAGUUACAAAAUUAAACAAAGAAAUCAAAGGUGGUGAAGGACACAGCUGAUGUUAAAGGCAGGAGGACAAAGAGAAGGAGAGGACAAACAAAUAUGGGCAUCGUUGAAAUGAAAUGUAUGGAGAGGUGAAAAGGGAAGUGAUGGAUGGUGAAAGUGGAGAUGGUCUCAGGGACUGAUACGCAUUAGCUGAUAAUCUAGAGUGACCUUUUUACUCUUUACAUGUGUUUGAAUCUUAUUUUGUGACACAGGAAAUGACUAAGAACAUCUAUUCAGUAUGUUCUAUUGCAUGUCAUUAGCUACUAGCAAACAGCAAUACGCACAUGUAACAGGAUUUGUACUGUGCUGUGCAGCAACAUUUACUCAGACAAUCAAAUAUGUGUUUGUAGUUACAACAAUAUAUGCAAGCUAGCUCAGACAUUCAACUCGUGUCCCACUCUACACUCACAUGGCAUACUUAACAUUUAUAAAAUGCGCUCUUUGGAUCAUGGCGGCGUAACGCUGCUUAAACUGUCAGUGCUCUGCUCACUCUUUUCCAUGCCUACUGCCACGCACAUGGGAGAGGUUUUGCCCUCAGGGCUUUCUGCCAGAAAGCCUUACUACUUGAUUAGGUGUAGGAAAAAAGAGGGGCAGCUGCUGCUGCUUCUGCUGUGUUAUCAUCACUCCUGCUUUAUAGUUGUUGUGCAUUAAAAACUAUUUAUGUUUCAUAUUAGCAAAGUCUACCAUUGCCUUUGGGCAAUGACAAAUUGCACAUUUUUACUUUAAUUGGGUUCCACUAGUACUUUGCUGACAAGUGGAACUGUGCCAACAAUAUCAGUGAAGUCUUUCUCUUACUAUAGCCUUUUAGUUGCCUAGCUACACAAAGAUGGUUAUUGUACAAACUUUGGAAAUCAGACAAACCUUUAUAAUAUCCCAAAUUCUGCACUGCAACAUAUUUCUAUCUAGUUGAUGUCCUAAUUGGCCAUUUAUGUUGGUUGAAAAGAAGGCUAAUGUAGCAUCCCUGUUAGAGGAAAAAGAAGGAGCAAAUGAGAGGUACACUACAUGUAGAAGAGACUGACUGGGGAAGAAUGGUUCCAUAGUGGUAAAUGGACUAUACAGUAUAUACAAGUGAUCAAAGAAGAGAAUGAUGACCAGAAAAGGUGACAACAUGAGAGAGGAGAGAUCAUGUGAAAAACAGAGUUUCCUUUCAGGCUACCCCCACCACCCCACCCCCCUUCAUCCAUCCAUCCAUCCAUCCUACCCCUCAGCAGUUGUUUGAUCUCCCUGCUGGCUUGUGUUGCUGUGAACUGGUAGACGAUGUCCAGC